GCUUGCAGGGAAACGCAGAGGCGUCCGCGGACGGAGGGAUUUUCCUGCCGUCUCCCCGGCAGCCCGGGCAGGAGAGCUGGGCACUUGCUAGGUGACGUACGGGCUUACGUGGGAGUCGAUGCCCGGCACCGCUCGGCGAGCGCCUUUUCUCCUGAGAUGCCGCUUCGCUGCAGCUCGCACCCCCCUUUCCAGGCGGGGAGGGGUGGACGGGAGGGAGGAAAAAAGGCACAGAAAAGCAGCCCCCUGUUUUCCUGCUCGGGAGACGAGCCCCGGCGCUCCGAAAGUGAGCGAGGGAGCGGGCGAGGGGAGGGCGCCGGGAGGCGGCUCGGGAGGACUGGGGGGGAGGACCCUCCUUUUGGGGGACCGAGGGCCGGCGGAGGGGGGCGAGGCAGAGGCUGGCGGCGCCGCGGGCACCCCGAGACACGACUACGCGUUUGUGGAGUGGGAUGCCUUGGGAAGGGCAGGGACGUCUCCACCUGAACAAGGAGAGAUCCCAGUGAGAGGAGAAGGGACCUUUCAAGCCUUGCCAGGAGGGAGGGUCCAACCUGCUUCUCCGAUGGCCCCAGAGAAGAGGUGGCUUUUGCUCAUGAACACAGAGGGUUUCUGCAUUGCUUCAAAUCCCCUCGGUCCACCCUUGCGGAGGGAGCCAGGGAAACCCAGGAAGCCAGGAGAAAAUCCCAUGUAACUCCUGUAUGUUGUGUCURUCUUUGGUGCCCUAAAUACCUCUGGGCAAGAUUGUCCUGCUUGGGCAGAGAGAUCUAAGCAAGCCACUGUCUCAACUGGCAAAACACUGUGUGCAGGAAGGUUAGAGGGAGCAGCAGGACAAUCCGAGCUGGCGGAGUAGUUUUGUAGCACCGGGGAACAUGCAGGUUGGGCUUUGAGCAUGGAGYGCAGCCAUCCUGGUGGGGCUGUGUGUGUAGAGCCUGCAGGACUGCACAUCUCUCUGGGCCGGACAGUCCUGCUGCUCUUUCAUUGCCCUUGUCUCUGUUCUUGUAAGAGAAAUGUACUGGCUGUAAUUCCCUUCCAUUAAAAUCGACCCCCACCCAAUGCACUGCUGAAAAUAAACACUCUGUUUUAUGAAAAUGAGCCGUGUGA
This 1095-nucleotide long non-coding RNA is filed under the name Dromaius novaehollandiae (emu). RNAcentral describes it as "lncRNA (ENSDNVG00000005687.1)". The record is from RNAcentral. Lineage: Eukaryota; Metazoa; Chordata; Aves; Casuariiformes; Dromaiidae.